Long non-coding RNA from Chelonoidis abingdonii (Abingdon island giant tortoise), 858 nucleotides. RefSeq lists it as uncharacterized. The record is from RefSeq and is a predicted model, not a curated record. Lineage: Eukaryota; Metazoa; Chordata; Testudines; Testudinidae.
AAAAAAUCUCUUCAGGAUUGUGCAUGUUCCUCACUGUUGAGGAGAAAGUGAAAGAGGCCCACAUAUAGACUUGCAAUGUUUUGAGCCAACUUGUAGCAUCUGAAUUCCCUUACUGCAGAUGAGAAGGAGAGUGCACAGUAAGCAGUACUACUGGAAGGAAAAGAAACACCCAGUCUCUCGUCAGGACCUAUCAAGAAACCUCCGAUGGAUGGAUUUCUGACAAUGGCACACUUUGGCUGCAGCAAGAGAGACUUGACCAUCUGAAAGAUCCAGAUCAUCUUGAAAUAUGCAUCUCAGCAAACUGCCCUUUUUUCCUUCCCAAAGCUGAUUGAAAGUGUAUUGCAGGAGUUAAGACAGGAAAACACCUAGAUUUGCAUGUGUCACUUUUGCUUUUGUUUUGAAAGAAAGAAGAGUUACUAUAACUGGAAUCUGCUAAAAAACACAACCCAACUAAACAUAUCAAAAUGUCUCGGUUGAAAUUAAAUAGAUUUAAAGUUGUGGGAUUAUAUAAGCAUAAGACUGAUCAGUAUUUAGAAGGAAUAAUUAUGUAUUAGAUAUCGAAGUAAGGAGGGCUUUAAUGCAAGACUUGUAGGCUGAGGCCUGCUAGAUUUUAGUUAAGCUAUUUUAGGCCUUGGAGAUAAAUAAGUGACCGAAGAAUAAGCUGAUGCCCUAAGAUUAUGGGAAGAGAGGUGCCAAGGGGUAAUAUUGCAAAAAAAAAAUAUUGCUAGAAGAUUAAUUUUUAAAUAAUAAAAAUGCUGUAGAGGCACAUCUGUCUCUAACAUGUGUCUUAACCACAGGAUACAGGUUUUGCAUCAAUGCUAAUAAGAAUAAAGGGAACCUACACAACCUAUAGGAAUU